Molecule: ribosomal RNA, 468 nt
Filed under: uncultured bacterium
Lineage: Bacteria
Description: partial 16S ribosomal RNA
Rfam family: Bacterial small subunit ribosomal RNA
Source: RNAcentral
GACGAACGCUGGCGGCGUGCUUAACACAUGCAAGUCGAACGGAAAGGCCCUGCUUUUGUUGGGUGCUCGAGUGGCGAACGGGUGAGUAACACGUGAGUAACCUGCCCUUGACUUUGGGAUAACUUCAGGAAACUGGGGCUACUACCGGAUAGGAGCUCCUGCUGCAUGGUGGGGGUUGGAAAGUUUCGGCGGUUGGGGAUGGACUCGCGGCUUAUCAGCUUGUUGGUGGGGUAGUGGCUUACCAAGGCUUCGACGGAUAGCCGGCCUGAGAGGGUGACCGGCGACAUUGGGACUGAGAUACGGCGCAGACUCCUACGGGAGACAGCAGUGGGGAAUAUUGCACAGUGGGCGGGAGCCUGAGGCAGCGACGCCGCGUGCGGGAUGACGGCCUUCGGGUUGUAAACCGCUUUCGCCUGUGACGAAGCGUGAGUGACGGUAAUGGGUGAAGAAGCACCGGCUAACUACGUG